Molecule: ribosomal RNA, 921 nt
Filed under: uncultured bacterium
Lineage: Bacteria
Description: bacterial SSU rRNA
Rfam family: Bacterial small subunit ribosomal RNA
Source: RNAcentral
AGAGUUUGAUCCUGGCUCAGGACGAACGCUGGCGGCGUGCCUAAUACAUGCAAGUCGAACGAAGCUUUCUUUCACCGAAUGCUUGCAUUCACCGAAAGAAGCUUAGUGGCGAACGGGUGAGUAACACGUAGGCAACCUGCCCAAAAGAGGGGGACAACACUUGGAAACAGGUGCUAAUACCGCAUAACCAUGAACACCGCAUGAUGUUCAUGUAAAAGACGGCUUUUGCUGUCACUUUUGGAUGGGCCUGCGGCGUAUUAACUUGUUGGUGGGGUAACGGCCUACCAAGGUGAUGAUACGUAGCCGAACUGAGAGGUUGAUCGGCCACAUUGGGACUGAGACACGGCCCAAACUCCUACGGGAGGCAGCAGUAGGGAAUCUUCCACAAUGGACGAAAGUCUGAUGGAGCAACGCCGCGUGAAUGAAGAAGGCCUUCGGGUCGUAAAAUUCUGUUGUCAGAGAAGAACGUGCGUGAGAGUAACUGUUCACGUAUUGACGGUAUCUGACCAGAAAGCCACGGCUAACUACGUGCCAGCAGCCGCGGUAAUACGUAGGUGGCGAGCGUUGUCCGGAUUUAUUGGGCGUAAAGGGAACGCAGGCGGUCUUUUAAGUCUGAUGUGAAAGCCUUCGGCUUAACCGAAGUAGUGCAUUGGAAACUGGAAGACUUGAGUGCAGAAGAGGAGAGUGGAACUCCAUGUGUAGCGGUGAAAUGCGUAGAUAUAUGGAAGAACACCAGUGGCGAAAGCGGCUCUCUGGUCUGUAACUGACGCUGAGGUUCGAAAGCGUGGGUAGCAAACAGGAUUAGAUACCCUGGUAGUCCACGCCGUAAACGAUGAGUGCUAAGUGUUGGAGGGUUUCCGCCCUUCAGUGCUGCAGCUAACGCAUUAAGCACUCCGCCUGGGGAGUACGGUCGCAAGACUG